This is a long non-coding RNA of Solanum tuberosum (potato), 514 nucleotides long. RefSeq lists it as uncharacterized. The transcript has 3 exons. The record is from RefSeq and is a predicted model, not a curated record. NCBI's taxonomy places the organism in Eukaryota, Viridiplantae, Streptophyta, Magnoliopsida, Solanales, Solanaceae.
UAUCAAAACAGGUGUACUUGAACUGUUCUUCUUUUUCUUUUUCCCAAAUCCUAAUGUUGCUUGAGUUUUUUUGCAUCUUUUACUUGUACUGUAGCAUUUCUUGGAUUUCAGGUUAGGAGGAUCGAUUGACAUGAAAAAGUCUACCUAUAUGUUUUCACUUAUUUCAACUAAGUGAGCUUGGCAGAGAGGGCAAAGUGCAAAGCACAUCCAAUAGUUGUUCUAAGACGGUCAUUCAAACUACGACUUCUAGCAUUGCAAGAAGUAACAUGACAACACUAAAGUUGAACGAGUUAUUCAAUUAAUAUAUAAACAUGUUCUCUUCAAAUCAACAGAAAAGUGAAAGUGUAAUUCAUUGUCGAGCUUAAUUUAUUUUCUCUAUAAUUAAUGUGUACUUUUUAUAAUACACAUACAAAUUGUACAAGUAAGGAGGAUGUACUAGCUUUCUUGAAAGAAGCAGAAAUUGACUAAGCCAAGAAACUUUGUGAAGACAAUAGAGAAACUAUAUGAUAAAAUC